This 460-nucleotide ribosomal RNA is filed under the name uncultured bacterium. RNAcentral's name for it is "partial 16S ribosomal RNA". It matches the Rfam family "Bacterial small subunit ribosomal RNA", at positions 338 to 795 of the family's 1533-position model. The record is from RNAcentral.
CCUACGGGAGGCAGCAGUGAGGAAUAUUGGUCAAUGGACGAGAGUCUGAACCAGCCAAGUAGCGUGAAGGAUGACUGCCCUAUGGGUUGUAAACUUCUUUUAUAUGGGAAUAAAAUGUUCCACGUGUGGGAUUUUGUAUGUACCAUAUGAAUAAGGAUCGGCUAACUCCGUGCCAGCAGCCGCGGUAAUACGGAGGGUCCGAGCGUUAUCCGGAUUUAUUGGGUUUAAAGGGAGCGUAGGUGGAAUGUUAAGUCAGUUGUGAAAGUUUGCGGCUCAACCGUAAAAUUGCAGUUGAAACUGGCAGUCUUGAGUACAGUAGAGGUGGGCGGAAUUCGUGGUGUAGCGGUGAAAUGCUUAGAUAUCACGAAGAACUCCGAUGGCGAAGGCAGUUCACUGGACUGCAACUGACACUGAGGCUCGAAAGUGUGGGUAUCAAACAGGAUUAGAUACCCCUGUAGUC